GACGAACGCUGGCGGCGUGCCUAACACAUGCAAGUCGAACGGAGAUGUUUAUUUCGGUAGACAUCUUAGUGGCGCACGGGUGAGUAACGCGUGGAUAACCUGACCCGAAGAGGGGGAUAACACCUGGAAACAAGUGCUAAUACCGCAUAAGACCACGAACCGGCAUCGGAAAGGGGUCAAAGGAGGAAUCCGCUUUGGGAGGGGUUCGCGUCCCAUUAGGUAGUUGGUGAGGUAACGGCCCACCAAGCCGACGAUGGGUAGCCGAGCUGAGAGGCUGAUCGGCCACACUGGAACUGAGACACGGUCCAGACUCCUACGGGAGGCAGCAGUGGGGAAUAUUGGGCAAUGGGCGCAAGCCUGACCCAGCAACGCCGCGUGAGGGAAGAA
This 387-nucleotide ribosomal RNA is filed under the name uncultured bacterium. RNAcentral's name for it is "bacterial SSU rRNA". It matches the Rfam family "Bacterial small subunit ribosomal RNA", at positions 28 to 412 of the family's 1533-position model. The record is from RNAcentral.